GGGUUGUGAGGUUAAGUGACUAAGCGUACACGGUGGAUGCCUAGGCAGUCAGAGGCGAUGAAGGGCGUGCUAAUCUGCGAAAAGCGUCGGUAAGGUGAUAUGAACCGUUAUAACCGGCGAUACCCGAAUGGGGAAACCCAGUGUGUUUCGACACACUAUCAUGUCAUGAAUACAUAGUGGCAUGAGGCGAACCGGGGGAACUGAAACAUCUAAGUACCCCGAGGAAAAGAAAUCAACCGAGAUUCCCCCAGUAGCGGCGAGCGAACGGGGAGGAGCCCAGAACCUGAAUCGGCUUGUGUGUUAGUGGAAGCGUCUGGAAAGUCGCGCAGCAAAGGGUGAUAGCCCCGUACACUAAAAUGCACAGGUCGUGAGUUCGAUGAGUAGGGCGGGACACGUGACAUCCUGUCUGAAUAUGGGGGGACCAUCCUCCAAGGCUAAAUACUCCUGACUGACCGAUAGUGAACCAGUACCGUGAGGGAAAGGCGAAAAGAACCCCGGCGAGGGGAGUGAAAUAGAACCUGAAACCGUGUACGUACAAGCAGUGGGAGCACCUUCGUGGUGUGACUGCGUACCUUUUGUAUAAUGGGUCAGCGACUUAUAUUUUGUAGCAAGGUUAACCGUAUAGGGGAGCCGUAGGGAAACCGAGUCUUAACUGGGCGAAUAGUUGCAAGGUAUAGACCCGAAACCCGGUGAUCUAGCCAUGGGCAGGUUGAAGGUUGGGUAACACUAACUGGAGGACCGAACCGACUAAUGUUGAAAAAUUAGCGGAUGACUUGUGGCUGGGGGUGAAAGGCCAAUCAAACCGGGAGAUAGCUGGUUCUCCCCGAAAGCUAUUUAGGUAGCGCCUCGUGAACUCAUCUUCGGGGGUAGAGCACUGUUUCGGCUAGGGGGCCAUCCCGGCUUACCAAACCGAUGCAAACUCCGAAUACCGAAGAAUGUUAUCACGGGAGACACACGGCGGGUGCUAACGUCCGUCGUGAAGAGGGAAACAACCCAGACCGCCAGCUAAGGUCCCAAAGUCAUGGUUAAGUGGGAAACGAUGUGGGAAGGCAUAGACAGCCAGGAUGUUGGCUUAGAAGCAGCCAUCAUUUAAAGAAAGCGUAAUAGCUCACUGGUCGAGUCGGCCUGCGCGGAAGAUGUAACGGGGCUAAACCAUGCACCGAAGCUGCGGCAGCGACGCUUAG
This is a ribosomal RNA of 1184 nucleotides. It matches the Rfam family "Bacterial large subunit ribosomal RNA", at positions 1 to 1218 of the family's 2925-position model.